RNAcentral lists this ribosomal RNA (930 nucleotides) under Triticum aestivum (bread wheat). Its description in RNAcentral is "partial small subunit ribosomal RNA". Lineage: Eukaryota; Viridiplantae; Streptophyta; Magnoliopsida; Poales; Poaceae. The record is from RNAcentral.
AUGGAGCGCAAAGCUUGUAUUGCACGAAGUUACCUAGAGCAAGUGUUAGUUGAUGAAGCCACAGAGCCCAAGAACCUGCCAUUAUCGCUGUUGGAGGACAUCACAAGUGAUUUCUCUCAUGACCAGGAGAUUGGAAGUGGUGGAUUUGCAGUGGUUUAUAAGGGAAUACUUGGUGAUAAGGAGAUAGCCGUGAAGAAGUUGUCCAACUUCUUAAUGACGGACACAGAAUUUGACCGAGAGGUCGAAUGCCUAAUGCGGGCAAAGCACAAAAAUGUAGUAAGAUUUCUGGGAUAUUGUGAUGACACACAAAGAAGUAGGGAAACAUUCGAUGGAAAACCUGUCAUGGCAGAGACCCGCCAAAGACUGCUUUGUUUCGAGUAUAUACCUAAUGGGAGUCUUUAUGAGUAUAUCAAGGAUCCAUAUCGUCAGUGGGGAACAUGCUACGAAAUAAUCAAAGGGAUUUGCAUGGGUCUACAAUACCUUCAUGAGAGCUUUAUUGUUCACUUGGAUUUAAAACCCGCCAAUAUACUUCUCGACAAUAAUAUGGUACCUAAAAUUGCUGAUUUUGGCCUGUCGAGAUACUUCGAUGAAAAUCAAAGCCGGGAUAUUACGAAAAACAUGUUUGGAACAGUGGGAUAUUGGGCACCUGAAUUUUCCGGAGGGGGUGUGAUCACACGCAGCGCUGACUUGUAUAGUCUUGGUGUUAUUAUCUUAGAAAUACUGACCGGGCAUAAGGGACAUGAACGUAUCGAGGACGUAAGGACAAGAUAUGUCAUUGUUAGAAAGAUGACAGAUCAGUUUCCCUUUUGGCUAAGAAGGGUCGACUUUAAAAUAAUUGUCACGCUUCCACAAUGCAUAUUGUCAUUAAGUUUUAGUUUUAGAUAUUGCGUAAUAUCAUUUAUGGCAGCACACCUAGUAGUUGUCCAGUGA